GCGCAUGCAGGUGGUUUGUUAAGUCAGAUGUGAAAGCCCGGGGCUCAACCUCGGAAUUGCAUUUGAAACUGGCAAACUAGAGUACUGUAGAGGGGGUAGAAUUUCAGGUGUAGCGGUGAAAUGCGUAGAGAUCUGAAGGAAUACCGGUGGCGAAGGCGGCCCCCCUCGGACAGAUACUGACACUCAGAUGCGAAAGACGUGGGGAGCAAACAGGAUUAGAUACCCCCGGUAG
RNAcentral lists this ribosomal RNA (232 nucleotides) under uncultured bacterium. Its description in RNAcentral is "partial 16S ribosomal RNA". It matches the Rfam family "Bacterial small subunit ribosomal RNA", at positions 565 to 793 of the family's 1533-position model. The record is from RNAcentral.